CAAAUGAAACUUCAUCUUCAUCUCUUCCCUCCACCGUGUCGGAGCUCAUCACCGACAGCGGUGGAGUAAUAACUCAUGAAAUCACUUAUACAUAAACACUCCAAAUCCUCUACUCAAUCUAAAUCCACAAGCAAAAUCACCCAAUUCUUCAUAAAAACUCCAGAUUGAAGAAAAGGAUCCAAUAACCCUAGAACUAAGAACAUAAAUAAAUGGUGAAUACGUGGAAUCAGAACCCCGGAUGUCAGGGUUUUGAUUCAUCUCAAUGAGCUCUACAUCAUGGUAGCUAGUAUGCAAUGAAACAACGAAAGAAAAAAUAACUCUAAAGCGGAGAGUUGCUCUGGUGAGUUGUUUAAUCGAAGAAGAUAAAGUAGCGAUGGAAAAUCACUUGAAUUAGGACUCGAUGUUGAGGUAUCUGGUAUGAUAUGGAUUGAUUAAUUUGUAGGAUAUGUUGCAUUGCCUUGAUAGGUAUGUUCAAUGUUGUAUGUCAUGAUUGUUUUUGUUUGGAAGUGAAUUGGUGCAGGUUGUUUGGUCAUUGUGUAGCAGGAUGAUGAAUAACCAAGGAUGCAAGGGUUUUCACAGGGUUGUGCUUGGCCUGCAUCAGGAUACAUCAUGUGCUAAGCUCAUGCCUUGGUAAACUUGCAAAUGGACUAUUACAUUAUAUUGUCAAGGAUGUUAGGCAAUGUAUGUGUAUGGUUGUGUAUUUGGAUUCAUGGUUGUUUCUGGUAUAAUGUCAAGGUUGCAAGGCUUGUAGAGCAAUAUGGAGAAGGCAAGGCAAACAACCAAGUCAUGGCAUGGUGACCAAGCUCAAAGGCAUGACCUAUUUUACAAAACCAAAAGUAUUUCUUAUUUGUGAAGCAAUAUGAUAAUGUAGGCUCAUGCAAUCAAUGCAAGGAUGAAAUGUAAUUAUUAUUAGGACUAGGGAUGCAAAAAUGUAAUGGUUGACCAAAAAGUCAAUAGUUGGCCAAAAGUUAACUUUUGUAAAAAUGUAAUUUUUGAUUUAUUUUUUUGUAAUGAACAUUGUUUAUGCUAGUUUAUGAAUGAA
This is a long non-coding RNA of Lathyrus oleraceus (garden pea), 1042 nucleotides long. RefSeq lists it as uncharacterized. The record is from RefSeq and is a predicted model, not a curated record. NCBI's taxonomy places the organism in Eukaryota, Viridiplantae, Streptophyta, Magnoliopsida, Fabales, Fabaceae. The transcript has 3 exons.